This 432-nucleotide unclassified non-coding RNA is filed under the name soil metagenome. Its description in RNAcentral is "partial contains 5.8S ribosomal RNA, internal transcribed spacer 2, and large subunit ribosomal RNA". The stretch from base 1 to 120 matches the Rfam family "5.8S ribosomal RNA", at positions 35 to 154 of the family's 154-position model. The record is from RNAcentral.
GAUGAAGAACGCAGCGAAAUGCGAUACGUAAUGUGAAUUGCAGAAUUCAGUGAAUCAUCGAAUCUUUGAACGCAUAUUGCGCUCUCUGGUAUUCCGGAGAGCAUGCUUGUUUGAGUAUCAGUAAACACCUCAACUUCCAUAUCUUUUUUGAAAUGGGAGUUGGACUUGAGUGAUCCCAACGCUUUUCCUCACCGAAAAGUGGCGGGUUACUUGAAAUGCAGGUGCAGCUGGACUUUUCUCUGAGCUAUAAGCAUAUCUAUUUAGUCUGCCUAAAAACAGAUUAUUACCUUUGCUGCAGCUAACAUAAAGGAGAUUAGUUCUUGUGCUGACUGAUGCAGGAUUCACAAAGACAGGCUUCGGCCGACUUUGUAAACUCGAUCUCAAAUCAAGUAAGACUACCCGCUGAACUUAAGCAUAUCAAUAAGCGGACGA